This 209-nucleotide long non-coding RNA is filed under the name Elaeis guineensis (African oil palm). Its description in RNAcentral is "long non-coding RNA (EGUI_LNC017377)". The record is from RNAcentral. Lineage: Eukaryota; Viridiplantae; Streptophyta; Magnoliopsida; Arecales; Arecaceae.
UGGGCUUAUUGACUGUUGGGUUAUAUCUAGUCUGUGAAUCAUCUCUUUAAGAUUUGAUGACUAAGCUGUCCUUUGUGGGUCAAAGAGAUAAGGACCACUGAGAUACUUACUGUAGCACACAUAUGAUGUGUAUGGUCCAUUUGAUAAGCCAGACUAGGAGGUUAUCACUACUUCAUCACCUUUACUGAUGAACAGUCAUAGUAUAGGUA